AAAUUGAAGAGUUUGAUCAUGGCUCAGAUUGAACGCUGGCGGCAGGCCUAACACAUGCAAGUCGAACGGUAACAGAAAGCAGCUUGCUGCUUUGCUGACG
This 100-nucleotide ribosomal RNA is filed under the name Escherichia coli. RNAcentral describes it as "partial 16S ribosomal RNA". It matches the Rfam family "Bacterial small subunit ribosomal RNA", at positions 1 to 100 of the family's 1533-position model. The record is from RNAcentral. Lineage: Bacteria; Pseudomonadati; Pseudomonadota; Gammaproteobacteria; Enterobacterales; Enterobacteriaceae.